CCCCUAGAUGUUCUGGGCCGCACGCGCGCUACACUGAACAGUUCAACAAGUCUUAACCUUGGCCGAUAGGUCUGGGUAAUCUUUGAACGCUGUUCGUGAUUGGGAUAGACCUUUGCAAUUAUGGGUCUUCAACGAGGAAUUCCUAGUAAACGCAAGUCAUCAGCUUGCAUUGAUUACGUCCCUGCCCUUUGUACACACCGCCCGUCGCACCUACCGAUUGAAUGGUCCGGUGAAAUCUCGGGACGGCGGUUUGGUCGCUUGCGUCCGACUGCUGAAACUUGAUUAAACCAUAUCAUUUAGAGGAAGGUGAANUCGUANCA
RNAcentral lists this ribosomal RNA (320 nucleotides) under uncultured eukaryote. RNAcentral describes it as "partial 18S ribosomal RNA". It matches the Rfam family "Eukaryotic small subunit ribosomal RNA", at positions 1470 to 1796 of the family's 1831-position model. The record is from RNAcentral.